GAAAUGCGAUAAGUAAUGUGAAUUGCAGAAUUCAGUGAACCAUCGAACCUUUGAACGCACAUUGCGCCCGCCAGCACUCUGGCGGGCAUGCCUGUUCGAGCGUCAUUUCAACCCUCAGAACCCCUUGCGGGAUCUGGCGUUGGGGAUUGGCAUCCAGCCAGCCCCGAAAUCUAGUGGCGGUCCCUCCGCGACCUCCCCUGUGCAGUAGCGAUACCUCGCAGCGGGACAGCGGUCUGACCACGCCGUAAAACCCCCAACUUCUCAAGGUUGACCUCGAAUCAGGUAGGAAUACCCGCUGAACUUAAGC
RNAcentral lists this unclassified non-coding RNA (307 nucleotides) under plant metagenome. RNAcentral describes it as "partial contains 5.8S ribosomal RNA, internal transcribed spacer 2, and large subunit ribosomal RNA". The stretch from base 1 to 105 matches the Rfam family "5.8S ribosomal RNA", at positions 50 to 154 of the family's 154-position model. The record is from RNAcentral.